This 258-nucleotide non-coding RNA is filed under the name Streptomyces afghaniensis 772. Its description in RNAcentral is "Bacterial small subunit ribosomal RNA". It matches the Rfam family "Bacterial small subunit ribosomal RNA", at positions 48 to 312 of the family's 1533-position model. The record is from Rfam by way of RNAcentral. Lineage: Bacteria; Bacillati; Actinomycetota; Actinomycetes; Kitasatosporales; Streptomycetaceae.
UUAACACAUGCAAGUCGAACGAUGAACCACUUCGGUGGGGAUUAGUGGCGAACGGGUGAGUAACACGUGGGCAAUCUGCCCUGCACUCUGGGACAAGCCCUGGAAACGGGGUCUAAUACCGGAUACAACCACUAGGGGCAUCUCUUGGUGGUGGAAAGCUCCGGCGGUGCAGGAUGAGCCCGCGGCCUAUCAGCUUGUGGUGAGGUAAUGGCUACCAAGGCGACGACGGGUAGCCGGCUGAGAGGGCGACCGGCCACA